GAAAAAACCAGUUUUAACAUUUAACUGGUCAAGUUCCCAACCAAAUUGAGCAACUAAGGCAAGCAAACACCUUAUAGUGGUAUACUUAACAACAUAAGAAAAUAUUUCAUUAUGAUUUACACCUUCUUUUUGUCUAAAUCUCUUGGCUACUAACCUAGCCUUAUAUCUUACAUUAUUACUUCCUCAUUUUUCUUCCUUUAUUUUAUAAAUCCAUUUACAAUCUAUAAGCUUUUGACCUUUAGGCUUUUCAACUAAUUUCCAGGUUUUAUUCUUAAGAAGUGAACUCAUUUCAUUUUUCAUGGUUGCUAUCUAAUGCUUAGAACCCUUACAAUUAAUGGCAUCUUUAUAAGUGUUAGACUCAUUUUCAGAUUGUUCUUGAUAGCUAAAUAAUGGAACAAAGUCAUCACUCUCAUAUCUAGCCGGUGGUCUAAUCUGCCUUCUUUCCCUAUCUCUAGUUAAUUGAUAUUCAUCAAUGGGAAAAUUAGGAUUAUCAUGCUGAUCAUUUGGGGUCAUCAACUGGAUUAUUUUCACUUUCAUUUAUGACAUCAUUUUCUACAAUAAUAGUUCCUGGUACAAUAGGUGCGGUGUUGCUCCUUCACUUUUAGAAGGCUCCACCUCAAUUUGAACAUCAUCACAAGUCAGAUUUUGUUUUCCUUCUAAACAAGGCAUAAGUGACUCAUUGAAAACAACAUUCCUCAUAACAAUCACUCUAUACCCUCUUUCUCCCUUUACCAACAAUCUAUACCCUUUAACUUUU
RNAcentral lists this long non-coding RNA (757 nucleotides) under Olea europaea subsp. europaea. The record is from RNAcentral. Lineage: Eukaryota; Viridiplantae; Streptophyta; Magnoliopsida; Lamiales; Oleaceae.